GUGAGGAAUAUUGGUCAAUGGGCGGGAGCCUGAACCAGCCAAGUCGCGUGAAGGAAGAAGGAUCUAUGGUUCGUAAACUUCUUUUGCAGGGGAAUAAAGUGCAGGACGUGUCCUGUUUUGUAUGUACCCUGAGAAUAAGGAUCGGCUAACUCCGUGCCAGCAGCCGCGGUAAUACGGAGGAUCCGAGCGUUAUCCGGAUUUAUUGGGUUUAAAGGGUGCGUAGGUGGUUUGAUAAGUCAGCGGUGAAAGUUUGCAACUUAACUGUAAAAAUGCCGUUGAAACUGUCGGACUUGAGUGUAAAUGAGGUAGGCGGAAUGCGUGGUGUAGCGGUGAAAUGCAUAGAUAUCACGCAGAACUCCGAUUGCGAAGGCAGCUUACUAAGCUACAACUGACACUGAAGCACGAAAGCGUGGGGAUCAAACAGGAUUAGAAACCCUGGUAGUCC
This 445-nucleotide ribosomal RNA is filed under the name uncultured bacterium. RNAcentral's name for it is "partial 16S ribosomal RNA". It matches the Rfam family "Bacterial small subunit ribosomal RNA", at positions 354 to 796 of the family's 1533-position model. The record is from RNAcentral.